Molecule: ribosomal RNA, 629 nt
Filed under: uncultured bacterium
Lineage: Bacteria
Description: bacterial SSU rRNA
Rfam family: Bacterial small subunit ribosomal RNA
Source: RNAcentral
AUUGAACGCUGGCGGCAGGCCUAACACAUGCAAGUCGAGCGGAAACGAGUUAUCUGAACCUUCGGGGAACGAUAACGGCGUCGAGCGGCGGACGGGUGAGUAAUGCCUAGGAAAUUGCCCUGAUGUGGGGGAUAACCAUUGGAAACGAUGGCUAAUACCGCAUAAUACCUACGGGUCAAAGAGGGGGACCUUCGGGCCUCUCGCGUCAGGAUAUGCCUAGGUGGGAUUAGCUAGUUGGUGAGGUAAUGGCUCACCAAGGCGACGAUCCCUAGCUGGUCUGAGAGGAUGAUCAGCCACACUGGAACUGAGACACGGUCCAGACUCCUACGGGAGGCAGCAGUGGGGAAUAUUGCACAAUGGGCGCAAGCCUGAUGCAGCCAUGCCGCGUGUGUGAAGAAGGCCUUCGGGUUGUAAAGCACUUUCAGUCGUGAGGAAGGUAGUGUAGUUAAUAGCUGCAUUAUUUGACGUUAGCGACAGAAGAAGCACCGGCUAACUCCGUGCCAGCAGCCGCGGUAAUACGGAGGGUGCGAGCGUUAAUCGGAAUUACUGGGCGUAAAGCGCAUGCAGGUGGUUUGUUAAGUCAGAUGUGAAAGCCCGGGGCUCAACCUCGGAAUAGCAUUUGAAACUGG